Molecule: ribosomal RNA, 253 nt
Filed under: uncultured bacterium
Lineage: Bacteria
Description: partial 16S ribosomal RNA
Rfam family: Bacterial small subunit ribosomal RNA
Source: RNAcentral
UACGAAGGGGGCAAGCGUUGUUCGGAAUUACUGGGCGUAAAGGGCGCGUAGGCGGCCGAUCAAGUCAGGCGUGAAAUUCCCGGGCUCAACCUGGGGGCUGCGCUUGAUACUGAUUGGCUUGAAUGCGGGAGAGGAUAGUGGAAUUCCCAGUGUAGAGGUGAAAUUCGUAGAUAUUGGGAAGAACACCGGUGGCGAAGGCGGCUAUCUGGACUGCAACUGACACUGAGGAACGAAAGCCAGGGGAGCAAACGGG